RNAcentral lists this ribosomal RNA (168 nucleotides) under Corticiales sp. RNAcentral describes it as "partial small subunit ribosomal RNA". It matches the Rfam family "Eukaryotic small subunit ribosomal RNA", at positions 1352 to 1541 of the family's 1831-position model. The record is from RNAcentral. Lineage: Eukaryota; Fungi; Basidiomycota; Agaricomycetes; Corticiales.
UAAAUAGUCAGGCCGGCUUUUGCUGGUCGCAGACUUCUUAGAGGGACUGUCAGCGUCUAGCUGACGGAAGUUUGAGGCAAUAACAGGUCUAUGAUUCCCUUAGAUGUUCUUGGCCGCACACGCACUACACUAAUGUAUUCAACGAGUAUAUAGCCUUGGUCGAUAGGC